UUCCAGUGGCCUCUGUUUAUAUUUAAAACAUAAACACAUAUCUUUUUCAGAUAGUAUUUAGCGUAUUCAUAUGCUAGACAUUUAAUCUAUAAUUGUUUUUAUGUAUUUUAUAUGUAAUUGCAUAUUAUAUGACAUAUAUACAACAUGCAUUCCUAGAGAAUGAUUUGUAUUUGAACCAGAAUCUAAAUUAAGGGCCACACAUGGAGAUCGGUAAGUGUUUUAAAUCGCUUCUUAAAUAGGCUCCUCGACCCCGUGUUGUUUUCCUUGCAAUUGAUUUGUCCCGGAGAGUCUCCCUCGGGCUGGACUUGGCUGGCUGGGUCCCCACUGUGUUUUCUGACCGUGCCUGUGCUCCCUGCAUUUCCCGUGAGCUGCCAUUUGGGUCUAGAGGCUUGUCCUGGUUCGGGCUCGCUGGUUCUGGUUCGACAACUUCACGGGUGUGGGGUGUUUCCUCACCAGGCACAAUACCCUCUGCUUUCUCUUUUUUUGGGAGGUCAGCAGCCAGUCGCCCAUCACGACCUGAGCGCAUGAAUUCACGACAGGCUGCCCGGUGGGGAUAGCAUGAUGCUGUCACUCCUUCUUCGCCCAUUAGUUGGGAUGUUCCUGCUGUGUGUUUGGGCACCAGGGGGUACGGCGUCUAGGAAGUUUCUUUUAAGAAAUAACGUCAGCGUUUCAUUGAAUAUAACGGACGUGCAAUAAACCGCACCUGUUUGAAGUGUGCACUUGGAUAACAAACCCAUCGUUUCCUGAACCCCACUUAUGUACCAGGAUUGCCUGACGAGCUGUGGGCCAGAGCAGCUUUGACGUCAGACAUCCUGGGCCAGAAUCCCGGGGGAAAUCACAAUAGCCAGCUGCGUCACCUUGGGUCACUUGUGUCCUCAGAGAACACAUGGCCCAGGGAGCGGAUGGUUCUAGAAGGAGACACCCGUGGAGUCGACCUGAAUUUGACCUGUGGCCCAGCUAAAUCCAGUCGACCCACAGAAGGAAGCAGAGCCAGCACCGUUGACCUGCAGACCUAUGAGAGGGGAGGAGAGACGUGGCAAGCCUCUGGAUUGGUGGGGAUGUUUGUUACACAGCAGUGUUGUAGCAGAAACCUGACCGAUCCACAGGUAUCAUGGGAGUACCUGCUGCCCAGGAUCGUUGUGGGGAUUAAAUAAGGUAACAUUUAAAAAUAUAUAUUUAAUAUAUUAAAAUAUUUGUUAGAGUCUGGCAUACGGUCACUCUAAAAACAUUAGAUAUUAUUAACCAAAGAUUUUGUGAUGUAAAAAUGUGUUUCUCAAUGUAUACUAUGACAUGCUGAUACAUUUAUUUAACUUCCUAGCAUUGUUUUUUCUUUUCCAAGCCUCGAAAUGUAGAGUAACUGUGUUAUUUACAGAAACACUCACCACAGCUCACAGCCUGGGAUAUGGAUCUCCAGACUCAAGUGUCUCAACCCUGAGGCCCUCCAGUCCGUCUAUUCACUCCCACCCCCACCCAGUGCAGGAACCCGGUCCCCCUGUCCCUCUCUAAGUGUUGCUCAGCCUCUUCUUGAAUCCUUCCCGCGAUGAGGAGCUCCCUGCUUCACAUACCAGCCUGUUUAAUUUCUGAAUCUCCCUCGUGGUAAAGAAGGUUCUCUCUCUUUGCCCUGAUGCAGGGCUGGGGAUUUAAAAUUUUUUAUUUUUAAAAAUUUUAAAAAAGAUUUUAUUUAUUUAUUUAUUUGACAGAGAGAGAGACAGAGAGGGAACACAAGCAGGGGGAGUGGGAGAGGGAGAAGCAGGCUUCCCGCGGAGCAGGGAGCCCAAUGCGGGGCUCCAUCCCAGGACCCUGGGACCAUGACCUGAGCUGAAGGCAGAUGCUUAACGACUGAGCCACCCAGGUGCCCCUAUUUUUUAUUUUUUUUAAAAUUUUAUUUAUUUAUUUGAGAGAGAGAGCAUGAGAUAGAGAGCAUGAGAGGGGGGAGGGUCAGAGAGAGAGACAGACUCCCUGCUGAGCAGGGAGCCCGACGUGGGACUCGAUCCUGGGACUCCAGGAUCAUGACCUGAGCUGAAGGCAGUCACUUAACCAACUGAGCCACCCACGUGCCCUAUUUUUUAUUUUUUUAAAAAGGAUUUUGUUUAUUUAUUUGAGAGAGUGAGCACAGGUGGGGAGGGGGUAGAGGGAGAGGGAGAAGCAGAUUACCCACUGAGCAGGGAGCCCCACAGACACAGGGCUCGAUCCCAGGACCCUGCGAUCAUGACCUGAGCUGAAGGCAGAUGCUUAACCGACUGAGCCACCAGGUGCUCCUUAUUUUUAUUUUUUUUUUAAGUAGGCUUCAUGCCCAGUGUGGGGCUCAAACUCAUGAUCCUGAGAUCAAGAGUCACAUGCUCUACCAUCUGAGCCAGCCAGGAGCCCCUGGAGAUUUUUAAUAGGUUGUUAAUAGCAAGAUCACAGGUUCUGGGUUUCCCACACUUAGUGCUGUGUGACCUUGGGCAAGUGGAUUCACCUCUCUGGGCCUCAGUGUCCUCUGUAAAGUGGAGUAGGGGAGAUAAUAAAAAAUCCAUCUCCCAGGGUGUUGGGAGGAUCCAAAGAGAUACAUGCAGUGGGUUCUCCGUAGAGGAGGGUGCGUGGGGAGGUAGUGUGUAAACCGAGGUUCCCUCUUGCGAUGCAGGAUUAUUCUUUCUUCUUUCCCCUUCUGCUUCAUGUUUCCCUUUCGAAUUGUGAACAUCCCCCACCCACAAUUUUCCAGGUGGCAUGGAGAAACUGUCGGGCGGCUGAGAUGCCCCCUCAGGGUGUAUUCGUGCCUCAGCGGUUGUGGAUCGAGCACUCCUGAUGUGCCUGGCAUCUGUCUAGACCCCAGGUGUCGCAGCAAAUGCUCUGUCCUCAUGGAGCCCACAUUCUGGGGGCGAGAUGGGCAUCAAACCCCGACAGCGUUGAAGGGUAAUUGAGGGAACGUGAUUCUCUGGCCUCGACCUCCCCAGCUCUGAAAUUCAGCAGCAACACAGCUGCUUCCUAAAGAUGUUGUGAGGACGAAAUAAAAGCAGGCAUAUCAAGAAGUGGGGUUCUCCUGGCUUCACUUCUUCCUCCGGCUCACAGAAAUAAGCCCAGGAGAAAAUGCAAGUGAAAGCACCUAGCGUGGGGCGCCCAGGCUCUCGCUCAGCACGCCUGCCCGCCGCGUCCCCACUGCUAGAGCUACUGCGUGCUGAGAGCCCCCGAGCUCAUCCCGCAGCCCUGCUGGCCGCACACCUCGGCCUCUGUCUCGGCUUCCUGUCUCGAGGCCCCAGGACUCAUGGUGUCCGCUGGCUGAGCUUGCUCUGCCCCGUCCUGCCCCCUUUCCCCACCUUGUAGGCUGUUGCUGGAUCCAGAGUGUGGGGGCAGUGGGCUCACCGCUGCGGACAGGAGGCAGGUGGCCCCGCAAGGCUGUGGGUCUCCCUGCCGGGGCACAGCUGGCCCGGACCCAGGCCCUUGGGCUCACAUUCCAGUGCUCUUUCCACUUCUCCUGACUUCAUUUUUCGCGUGUGUGUUUUCCCAGUCUGAACUGGGACCUGUUGCUCUGCUUCUGUGGACCUCGGUUUUCUCAUCUUUGAAAGGGGGCCACAAAGGUGGUCCCCCAGGGGUCACAUGGUGUGGGAAGGGCCUUGGCACCGGCCAGGUGCCAGGAGAGUGCUCAACAAAUGGCGGGUACCGUUAUUCUGGUUGGUAGGGCCGUGGGGUCCUGGGGCCCCAGGACAGAAGGCACCUCAGAUACUCUGGAAGCCCCCUGGCCCAGGCUGGUGGCCUGAUGUGGGCUCAAGGCCAAGAAGUGGUAAAACCAGCAUUCAGACCCAGGCCUGCCUCCCCCGGGCCCGUGUGCCUUACUCCGAUGCUAGAAGCAAAGGGAGCCUCCCAUUCAUUCAGCCAGUGUUUCCUGCCUGCUUGCUGGGUGCCACUGAGGGGCCUUCUCCCGGUGGGUGGGGACAGAUGGCCCUGAGCCAGUCACACUCUCCCCUCUGCACGCGGGUGAGGGGCUGCUGAGGUGCCUGAGUUGUCUGCGUCCCAGGGCCACAGCCGGGCCUUUUUUUCCACGUCUGGAUAGGUGGACCCCGAGGGGUGCCGAGGCCAGACCUCUCCCAGGGACCCCCGUGGCUGCUUCUGUGUUCAGGGUGGGCUCUGUGUUAAUACGUGUUUAUUUGUACACUUGUCCCUUCUUCAGUUGUGCCUUUAUGAUGAAUUCUUGCCCCUGCACGUUUCUCGGGCACACUCGUGGCCCUGGCCUUCACUCUGCUUAGGCAGGCAAGGAAGCCUCCAGACGGUGGUCGCAUAGGGGACCAGGGCUCUGCAGGGUGGGAGCCGCACGUGACUCCUGCCUCUCCCAGGGACAAGGAAGGUUUCGCAGAAGAAGUGACGUUGGGCUCAAGCCUUGUAGGAGGAACAGGGUCUGCUUCGUGCCCGGUGGAGUGUGAGAAGGUGCCAGGGCCUGGGGGCACUUGGGUAAGUGGAGGAGGAGGAGAAGCCCUUGAAGGAGGUGGGGCCGGGAAGUAAUCUGGGCUCAGGGAUGAUUAGUCUGGGGGUCCUAGGGAGCCACUGAAGGUACUUGAGGAGGGGAGUGAUAGGCAGAGCUGGCAGCUGGGACGGAGUGGACCAGAGGCCUGGAGGCCCAGAGGAGGUGGCAGAGGCCUGGGGCCACCUGGCUCAGAUUCUGCCCCUCUGAUGGGGGCUCCUCCCCUUCUCCAGCUACACAGCCCACCCCCCUCUUCCCGGAACCACAACGUUGGGGCAGGGCAGGACCAGGCGGCGGCUUGGGGGAGAGGGGGUGGCCGCUGCUUGACGACAGGCUCAACCCCUCUCCUCUGGGUGCUCCCCUAAAUCUCGAAAUAAAUUAGGCAGAAUCAAAAUCAGACUCUCUUCAUCAGGAGAAAUUACUCAUUUCAAAUAUUUGCAGCAGCUUGAACUGAAAUUUAGCGAGAUGAAGACUUAGAUGAAUAAUCUGGGGCCUUUUCAAAGACAGUUUUUACUCAGCAGUUUUCCUGAUUCCUGAGCAACCCCCCCCCCCCCGCCCAAGCCCCCUCCCAGUCAGGAGCCACCCUCCUGUCUUCUCUCUUGGGCUCCCUCCCUUCACCCCCAACCCUGGUCUAUUUCUUCUCCUUUCGGCUUCUCUUCCCUUGAUUUCAUUCGCUAAAUCUGCAAAUAUUUGCCGAGCGCCUCCUCCUGCCUGGCACCGAGCUUGGCCCGGGGAACCAGCGGCCACGAGAUGAUGCACCCCUGCCCACCUGGAGCGCCUGGGGUUCCUGGGCUCGGGACCUGUCCUGUCUGUUGAAGGGUGUUCGCCCCCUUAUUUGCCCUGAGUGGCACUCCUUAAUAUUUGCAAAAAUUUCCUUUCCACAAUUUUUUUUUUUUUAAAGAAACCUUAUAUAACCAGCUCUCUGGAGGCCCUUCGGAGGCUGGGAGAAAAUCUGGAGAAUUCCACCCCCUCUCCUGACCCCCUUCCUCCUCCGCACGGGCCUGUGGCCUUUGGGAUGGGCGGUGUUUGACGAAAGCCAGGCCUGAGCUCGACCACCCUCAGCAGCCGGAGCCCUACAGGAAGUGGACGGGUGUGCUGGGGUGCCCCGGAGGAGGGGUGUGAGGAGAAAGCAGGAGGUUACAAGGGCUUUCCUGCCCUGCUGUUCCUUGAAAGAAGCUUCCAGACUGGAUGUGGAGGCCAACCAUACUUCCUGGCUCCCAGGGUCCUGGGCUGUCCGGUCUGCUCCGCCAGCUGAUGGGGUGGGAAGAACGUGUGCUGGUCCUGUCUUCCCUGUUGAGAUGAGUAAUGUGUGCACACGG
Mirounga angustirostris (Northern elephant seal) is the source of this 5751-nucleotide long non-coding RNA. RefSeq lists it as uncharacterized. Lineage: Eukaryota; Metazoa; Chordata; Mammalia; Carnivora; Phocidae. The transcript has 6 exons. The record is from RefSeq and is a predicted model, not a curated record.